CUACCUAUCUACCUUUCUUCGUUCUCUACAGGCUCCUACCUGUCGGUCAAGGUUGAACCGUCUGAACUGGAGCCGUAAUAAGAUUUAACUAAGAGAUAAGCUGUACAAAAGUGAAUGGAAUAAUAUAAUAUUUGGCGGAUAAAAA
Molecule: long non-coding RNA, 145 nt
Organism: Polistes dominula (European paper wasp)
Lineage: Eukaryota; Metazoa; Arthropoda; Insecta; Hymenoptera; Vespidae
Source: RefSeq, a predicted model, not a curated record